ACUCAAAGGAAUUGACGGGGACCCACACAAGCAGUGGAUCAUGUUGUUUAAUUCGACAAUAAACGAGAAACCUCACCCAGGCUUGACAUCGAAGGAAUCCGCUGGAAACAGUGGAGUACCCGCAAGGGACCCGAAGACAGGCGCUGCAUGGUUGUCGUCAGCUCGUGCCUUGAGGUGUUCGGUUAAGUCCGUUAACGAGCGCAACCCAUGUCGUUAGUUACUAUGUCUAACGAGACUGCCUGAGUUAAUCAGGAGGAAGGUGUGGAUGACGUCAAAUCAGCAUGGCCCUUAUGCCUGGGGCUACAAACAUGAUACAAUGGUCGGUACAAUGUGCAGCAAACCCGCGAGGGUGAGCCAAUCACCAAAGCCGAUCUCAGUCCAGAUUGGAGUCUGCAACUCGACUCCAUGAAGUUGGAAUUGCUAGUAAUCGUGAAUCAGCUAUGUCACGGUGAAUCCGUUCCUGGGUCUUGUACACACCGCCCGU
This 484-nucleotide ribosomal RNA is filed under the name uncultured bacterium. RNAcentral's name for it is "partial 16S ribosomal RNA". It matches the Rfam family "Bacterial small subunit ribosomal RNA", at positions 899 to 1397 of the family's 1533-position model. The record is from RNAcentral.